Molecule: RNA transcript, 1667 nt
Organism: Myotis lucifugus (little brown bat)
Lineage: Eukaryota; Metazoa; Chordata; Mammalia; Chiroptera; Vespertilionidae
Gene: RFXANK
Gene name: regulatory factor X associated ankyrin containing protein
Exons: 9
Source: RefSeq, a predicted model, not a curated record
CAGGGGCGGAUGCAUUGGGGAGCGCUCUACACACCGCUCACUGCGGACCGUCGUAACGGCCUCUUUGCACCUCAUGCCAUCAAAUCCCUGCACAUGUUCAUGAGCCCCCAAGACCCAGAGGGAGCACUGUUGUGGACGGAGACGACCAUGGAGUCGCCCCUUUAAAUCCUGGACGCCCCGCCUGCUCCCGCCCCCUUGCCCUCGAGGGAGAAAGCCCCGCCUUCCUGCCCCAAACUGGAGCCGAUUGGCUUCUAACAGGCGCAAUGAGAUCCACUGAGCCCUCUGAGGCCCCGCCCACUUCUCUGACCCCGCGGGACUAGAAGGCACAGGAGCAACUGCACUGCUCGGACUCCAGCGGAAACCACGCCCCCUCCAAUCCUUAAAGGGCCAGAAGCAGCUCCUACUGCUCCUGCCCUUCCGCACUUUUGGGGGGCAGGGUGCGCAGGCGCAGUGGGGGACCUCUGGGGUGGGGGUAGUGGUCGAGUAUCAAGUUGCUCUCUGUCCCGGCAGAAGAAGCCAGAGCGCUGACCAUCCAGGCUCCAGCUUGCUCCCUUCUACAUCAAUUGGAGGGGAAAAGUUUGUGAAUUGGGCCUCCAAGUUUUGGGGGAUCCGGGCUUGCGGCGAGGGGUGACAGAGAAGGUUCGUGGAAGGGGCCUCCAUUAGCUCCCCCCCACCCGCAUGGAGCUCACCCAGCCUUCAGAGGACCUCAGCCUGACCCAGCAGCCUCCCACCCCAGAAUUUGGGGAACCUGAAGACCCCAGGGAUGAGGCCCAGGAUGGCUCAGACACAGUGGUGCUCAGUCUCUUCCCCUGCACCCCAGAGCCUGGGAAUCCUGAACCAGAUGCUGGCGCCUCUUCACCUCAGGGCAACUCCCUAAAGCACUCCACGACCCUCACCAACCGGCAGCGGGGGAAUGAGGUCUCGGCCCUGCCAGCCACCCUGGACUCCCUGUCCAUCCACCAGCUUGCAGCCCAGGGAGAGCUGAGCCAGCUGAAGGAGCAUCUGAGGAAAGCUUUGGGGAGAGUGGGCAGGGGUGCAGCCCAGUGGUACCACCCCCUCCUGCCAGGCGACAACCUCAUCAACAAGCCGGACGAGCGUGGCUUCACCCCCCUCAUCUGGGCCUCAGCCUUCGGAGAGAUAGAGACCGUCCGAUUCUUGCUUGAGUGGGGUGCCGACCCCCACAUACUGGCCAAGGAGCGGGAGAGCGCCCUGUCACUGGCCAGCACAGGAGGCUACACAGACAUCGUGGGGCUGCUGCUCGAGCGUGAUGUGGACAUCAACAUUUACGACUGGAAUGGAGGGGACGCCACUGCUCUAUGCCGUGCGUGGGAACCAUGUGAAGUGCGUGGAGGCCUUGCUGGCCCGAGGAGCUGAUCUCACCACUGAAGCUGACUCUGGCUACACCCCAAUGGAUCUCGCUGUGGCUCUGGGAUACCGGAAAGUGCAACAGGUGAUCGAGAACCACAUCCUCAAGCUCUUCCAGAAUAACCUGGUGCCCGACGAUCCUGAGUGAAGGCCACCCACCCCACAGGGACUCAGACUCUCAGGGAACAAAGCGGUCGACCCAGAGUUGGGGGAACCCAGAACUGGCUUCAAAGGCAGCUCCUGGACAGAUGGUGGGAGGGAUCCUUCCCAGCAGAAAUCAAUAAACCUGUGCAGAACUUGAA